AGAGUUUGAUCAUGGCUCAGAAUCAACGCUGGCGGCGUGCCUAACACAUGCAAGUCGAACGCGAAAGUCCCGCAAGGGAUUAGUAGAGUGGCAAACGGGUGAGUAACACGUGGGUGACCUGCCUUCGAGCGGGGGAUAACGUCCCGAAAGGGACGCUAAUACCGCAUAACAUCCUGCCUUUUAAGAGGUGGAGAUCAAAGCCGGGGAUCGCAAGACCUGGCACUUGAAGAGGGGCCCGCGCCUGAUUAGCUAGUUGGUGGGGUAAUGGCCUACCAAGGCAACGAUCAGUAUCCGGCCUGAGAGGGCGGACGGACACACUGGGACUGAGACACGGCCCAGACUCCUACGGGAGGCAGCAGUGGGGAAUUGUUCGCAAUGGGCGCAAGCCUGACGACGCAACGCCGCGUGGAGGAUGAAGACCUUCGGGUCGUAAACUCCUUUCGAUCGAGACGAAUGUUUUUCGGGUGAAUACUCCGGAAAAGUGACGGUACCGAGAGAAGAAGCCCCGGCUAACUCUGUGCCAGCAGCCGCGGUAAUACAGGGGGGGCAAGCGUUGUUCGGAAUUACUGGGCGUAAAGGGCUCGUAGGUGGCCAACUAAGUCAGACGUGAAAUCCCUCAGCUUAACUGGGGAACUGCGUCUGAUACUGGAUGGCUUGAGUUUGGGAGAGGGAUGCGGAAUUCCAGGUGUAGCGGUGAAAUGCGUAGAUAUCUGGAGGAACACCGGUGGCGAAGGCGGCAUCCUGGACCAACACUGACACUGAGGAGCGAAAGCCAGGGGAGCAAACGGGAUUAGAUACCCCCGUAGUCC
RNAcentral lists this ribosomal RNA (809 nucleotides) under uncultured bacterium. RNAcentral describes it as "bacterial SSU rRNA". It matches the Rfam family "Bacterial small subunit ribosomal RNA", at positions 8 to 796 of the family's 1533-position model. The record is from RNAcentral.